AUUGAACGCUGGCGGCAUGCUUUACACAUGCAAGUCGAACGGCAGCGCGGGCUUCGGCCUGGCGGCGAGUGGCGAACGGGUGAGUAAUGCAUCGGAACGUGCCCAGUCGUGGGGGAUAGCCCGGCGAAAGCCGGAUUAAUACCGCAUACGACCUGAGGGUGAAAGCGGGGGACCGAAAGGCCUCGCGCUAUUGGAGCGGCCGAUGUCGGAUUAGCUAGUUGGUGGGGUAAAGGCUUACCAAGGCGACGAUCCGUAGCUGGUCUGAGAGGACGACCAGCCACGCUGGGACUGAGACACGGCCGAGACUCCUACGGGAGGAAGCGGUGGGGAAUUUUGGACAAUGGGGGCAACCCUGAUCCAGCCAUGCCGCGUGCGGGAAGAAGGCCUUCGGGUUGUAAAACGUUUUUGUUCGGGAAGAAAUCCUCUGGGCUAAUACCCCGGGGGGAUGACGGUACCGGAAGAAUAAGCACCGGCUAACUACGUG
This 484-nucleotide ribosomal RNA is filed under the name uncultured bacterium. RNAcentral's name for it is "partial 16S ribosomal RNA". It matches the Rfam family "Bacterial small subunit ribosomal RNA", at positions 28 to 507 of the family's 1533-position model. The record is from RNAcentral.